Molecule: ribosomal RNA, 253 nt
Filed under: uncultured bacterium
Lineage: Bacteria
Description: partial 16S ribosomal RNA
Rfam family: Bacterial small subunit ribosomal RNA
Source: RNAcentral
UACAGAGGGGGCAAGCGUUGUUCGGAAUUACUGGGCGUAAAGAGCGUGUAGGCGGUCAGGUAGGUCCGUUGUGAAAACUCGAGGCUCAACCUCGAGACGCCGAUGGAAACCAUCUGACUAGAGUCCGGAAGAGGAGAGUGGAAUUCCUGGUGUAGCGGUGAAAUGCGCAGAUAUCAGGAAGAACACCCGUGGCUAAGGCGGCUCUCUAGUACGGUACUGACGCUGAGACGCGAAAGCGUGGGGAGCGAACAGG